This 780-nucleotide long non-coding RNA is filed under the name Homo sapiens (human). RNAcentral's name for it is "HSALNT0206697". The record is from RNAcentral. Lineage: Eukaryota; Metazoa; Chordata; Mammalia; Primates; Hominidae.
GGGAGCCAGAAGGUGAAGAAGGAGAUAAGUGUUCGGGAAAUUUCAGGGACCUGGGAUCUCGUCCAGUUAAAGAAUUUUCUGAACCUUGUUCAUUAUUCCAACCAAUUUGAAAAUGAGAGAAGAUGCUCAAAAGUGUUUAUCUCUGAAGCAAAGACCUGAGUGUUCAUUGAGCACAGACAUAUUAGAAAAUAACAAAGGAAAGAGGAUACUUUUUGGCGGUGGUAUUGUCUAAAACAUGAGAACACUUCAAGACCAAGACCAAGAUGGGGGUGUCUGGCUUAUGGUCUUCAGAGAAGGAGAAAGUCGUGUGCGUGCAGAGGCUGAGGGCCACACAGCAAGCUGUGAUUUCAUAGCAGUACAGAGUUGUGUUUGUUCCAGACUGCGCUGGCCUUGAGGAAAAGACAAGGAUGUGUCCAAUAAUUAUGAUGAGACUGAAUAUCUAACAAAGCUAGUAGGGGUUUAUUUUAAUGUCCUUCCUUAAGGUUCCUGUAGCUUCUGUUUUGUUCUGAGUAGCUUUUGAAGUUUCUCUGCUCUGUGACAGUCCCAUCUCUAAAUCCAUCUCUAAACCCAACGUAACUGACCUGGGUCCGCUCCCAGCUCUGGAAAAUUACAUUUUCUUGGACAAUUCACUUAAUUUCUUUCUUACAUUGUUAAAAAAAAUCUAUGCGGUGAGGGUUUUGAAAGUACGUACUUCAAAGAAUUAUUUAGAGUAAUAAGUAAAAUAAUUCAUAUGCUUAGAAUACUGCCAGGUACUCUGAAGCCAUUAAUAAAUAUUAGCCA